This is a long non-coding RNA of Astatotilapia calliptera (eastern happy), 3866 nucleotides long. NCBI's taxonomy places the organism in Eukaryota, Metazoa, Chordata, Actinopteri, Cichliformes, Cichlidae. The record is from Ensembl.
UUUUUUUUUCUUCAUUUUUCGGUCUAAAUAUUAAAUAUCCAGAAAAUCUAUUAUGUUCAACAAUACAACUUAUCUGCAGAAACUCAUCCAGAAAGAAUGAAGGAUUUGAGUCGUCUUCCAUUGGUGUUAAAAAAAAGAACAGAUAUACUUCCGGGAAGGACGAUGUAUUUACUGCCUGUGUAUUAUAUUUCCAAAGUAUGCUCAGGAUUAAAGCCCUUAACAACUUACCUUAUGCACUGCAGUCAGGUGUUCAGCAAAAGAGACUAUUAUAAAAUUUUCAUUCUAAAAAAUUAAUGCUCAUUGUUUUAAGUAAACUUUUCAUUGUUAUUAAAUGUGUAGCUGUCAAUAGUGUGAAUGAUUGUUUCGAAGUGAAAAUAAAGAGUGACUAAUGGCGAUUUAUUAAAAUAAAACAGAAAAGAAAAGAAACACACAUCAAGGUCACAUCCUAAUGGUUUUUCUUUUUCUUUUUUUUUUCAAAUAAAAUUUGAUGCUGUUGUGUUGACAAAAUAUUAAACUCCAUUCACGGUAGCUUAUCCAAAACAGAGUGACUUUGUGACUCAUAUGUUUUUCAAUCUGUCACCCUGAAAAUUUCACAUGUGACUGGAUGAAUGAAGGUGGGGGUGUUAGUCAGCAGCAUUAGUGGGGGUCCAGGCAACUGUACUUCCUCAGCUAAACACCUAUCUUAGGCUUCUAUAACUAUAUAUGAAAUUAAGUCUGGUUUAGCAAUAAAAAAGUUGAACACCACCACUGCUGAUUUGUUACUCCAACUAAAAUCCAAAUCAGUUAUUUGGUUAACAUAAGUGUAGUGCUUCUGGAUCAGUCAUAUAACCCUGGCUAAUGAGGACACUGACUUUCGACCGGAUGAGUCUAUAUAGGGCAGGUUUUGGAAGUAAUCAUCAUAUCUCUUUAACACUGAAAGACGCCACUCAAAAGUUUUUCAACCCUUAAGUCACACGUAUAUGAAAUCAAGCAUCUAGCCAUAGAGUCUGCCUUUAAAAGCAUUUGUGAAACAAUGGUUUGUUCUAAAGAGCUUCUGUAAUAAGAUCCCAUCGUUGCAACAAUUCAGUUGGUGAAAUUUCUUAUCUCCUACAAAUUCCACUCAAACUGUUCUACAUGGCAUAUGUUUCCAUUGCAUAGCAGCUCUUGCUGGUGUAGUAUUUGGUAGGCUCAGUAUGUUUCUUGAUUGUAGUUUAAAAGCAUGAUGUACGGGAAUUCUAAAAAAUUUAAAUAAAUAGAAACAUGAUAAACUUAAGUGAGCUUUCUUUUUUUAGAGGAUACUAUCAUGUUUUUUCCAAUCAGGAUCAUAAACCAGAUCAGAUAUUGUCAUGAGUGAUGUCUUGAGUCAGACUGUAGAUUUUCUUUCUUGCUCUGUCUCCUCUCACAGGGAGAAGAUGAUCUGCAGGAUCCUGCUACUCAUCAUCCUCACCUCAUGUGUCUCUGGUUAGUUUACAGCUUCACUUUAUGAACUCCAAAUAAUGCUCAACAACAGAUUUGUUCCAGUUCUCAGUGUGUCUGCUCCUCUCUUUCCCUCUCUGUCUCCUCAACAGGAUCAUUUGUAGUCAAUGUGACACAGACCUGCUAUCAGGCAGAGGAGAACCACAACAUCACACUGGAGUGGACGUUCACCACCAAACCUGACAGAUCCACCAAAACUCUCAACGUCCUCUGUGAACUGAUAACUGAGCGUACAGAUUCAGUCCUGUAUCGUGUUCAAGAAGGUGUUGAGGUGUCAGAGUCUCAGGAUGAAAAGUUUUCAGGACGAGUUGAGAGUGACAAAGACGCCCUCAGAGAAGGACGAAUCAGACUUCAACUGUUUAGACUCAGGACUGAUGACUCGGGUCUGUACCUGUGUGAACUGAACACAGAUUAUGGCUUUGGCUCAGCCAGAUGUAGACUCAGCAUCAGUGCUUCGGAUGACCCCAAACGUCCAAGUCCAACAGUGAACACACAACCAGAGAGUCGAGGAUGGCUCAACCUGUAUCCUUUACUUAUACUGCCAGCAGCAGCUUUAUUGAUCAAACUCUGUUAUAAAAUCAUAAAACGAAAACAUAACCUAAAUCUAAACAGUCACCGCCUAGGCAGCGAAUGCAGUGAAGCAGUAGUCAACUUGAAUAAUUCAGAUGCCACUCACCUUGCUGCUUCAUUAGAAGCCACAUCCAUCAUCUUCUGAGUGUGGACAUGACUUCCCUGAACUCCAAAGAUUGUCAUGUUAACAGCUGGGUCUGCAGUGGAAGAUUUGUGGGAGCAUCAACCUCAGUGAGAGCUGAGAAACACUGUCUGCAGUCUGUAGCCAUCAUCAAAAACACUGAUGGAAACAUUCAAAGCUCUUGUCACGUAUAUCAUUAAUAAUAUUUCCUUCCUCUUUUGGUUCUAACAUUUGUUUUUGUUAGAUAUGGUAUGAGGAAUCUUUAAUUUUUGUCCAUUAGCAUCCAGAGUGAUUGAAAUCACUUGUUGUUCUCCCAUCAGCUGUUAUAAAUUAGUACUGGUUAAAAUGUGCCUGAACUCAAGUUGUUAAAGGAAUUCUAAGUGUUACAGUGAACUCCUAAUAAUUUGACUAUGGAUCACCAUAGGUAGAAUUUACUUUUUCUAAAGUUAAUGUUUAUGUGUAUAUAUUGUAAACAAGUCCUUAUUUAUAUGAAAGAAGUUAUGAUUCUUCUGUAUAUGUGUGUGUCCAAAUCAUUUUAUCAAAGGGUCAGAAGAUCUUAAAGAGGUCUAUAAUACCAAGUGUAAUCUAACAUGUUUGGUACUAUUACUUUACAAGGUGUAUUACAAGAAGGACAGGAGUUUGAUAAUUAUUUAAAAUAUAUAAAACACUGAAUGUGUACAUAUAAAGCAACAAAGUUGUUUACGCCAACUCUUAAUCGUAACAUUAUUCUACUUAAAGAAUAUUUAGUUGGCGUUGAAAUGACUUUUUCUCUCUCAGCACUGAAAAUCUAACACUUGAUUCUGCUGAGUUUUUCUGCUAUCAGCUUCUGUCUCUGCUUUCAUAAAAUAAAAUGAUCGAUCUUUUUGAUCAACAACACAAACAAUGGUGGUGACACUUUCUGUCGAAAAACACUGCGGCAUGAUGGGAACAGCUGCAGUUGUUUACAUAAAUCAGGGGUGUUGAACUCCAGGUUUUGAGGGCCGGUGUCCUGCAGGUUUUAGAUCUCACCCUGGGUCAACACACCUGAAUCACAUGAUUAGUUCAUUACCAGGCCUCUGGAGAACCACUUUAACUGGUUUUGAACUGGUUCUAACUGAUUAUAGUUGUUGUCAGCCAGUUGUGGCAGAUGACUGCCCCUCCCUGAGCCUGGUUCUGCAGAAGGUUUCUCCCACUUUAAAGUAGUGAUGGGCAGAUGAAGCUUCAUGAAGCACUGAAGCUUUUCAUCCAAUUGGUUCACCCCAGUGCAAAGCUUCUUGAAGCUUCAUUUGCUCUAGUAGGACACCUACUGGACGUAAAAAUAUUAGUUGGCAUGAAUUUGAAGUGUGUGGCCUUUUGCACACAGCCUGUAAAUGUCAACAACAAAAGGAGUGUGUAAAACAUCUAUAUUGUAUUGAUGGCAGUAUACUGUGUAUAUUUAUACUGGCAGUAUGGAAAAUGAUCAUUUGGAAAUGCUUAAAAUGGAAAUAAUCAUUUACUGUGAGGUGAGGUGUGGUUGGGGUAUGGACAGUGGUUGUGCUCUUGUAACGUUGAGGUAUGGACAGCUACACACUGAGGCGUCAGUCCUGCCCAUAUUCUAUUCAGUAAAAACUAAAUUUUCACUGCUUUUAUAACCUUUAGUGGGGAGAGCAUAGCUAGGAUUUAAUGAUUUAACAAAUCUUUUGAAUCCUUUGUCCUCCACAAUGCUAAAUGGCUGGGAGUCCUCAAUCACCAUGCUAACCAG